RNAcentral lists this transfer-messenger RNA (371 nucleotides) under Gulosibacter macacae. RNAcentral's name for it is "Standard tmRNA". It matches the Rfam family "transfer-messenger RNA". From Rfam's summary of the family: Bacterial tmRNA, also known as 10Sa RNA or SsrA, is named for its dual tRNA and mRNA-like properties. Lineage: Bacteria; Bacillati; Actinomycetota; Actinomycetes; Micrococcales; Microbacteriaceae. The record is from Rfam by way of RNAcentral.
GGGGAUGAUCGGUUUCGACAUUGCUCGCGAAACUGCGUGAAGCGGGUAGAGGACGCGGGGUUAUCUCUUAAACGCCCCUCGCAACCAAUAAGUGCCAAUAACAAGCGCACUGACUUCGCCCUCGCUGCCUAAGCACCGAGCCUCGAGUCCGUCAACCUAGGUUUGCGUUCGACCUAGAUCUUGGCGUCAUUUUGAACGAUUGCUGCGUAGUUGCGUCACAGGGCUACGUGGGACUUUAACUUUGACUGGGUUUGUCGGUCAGGCUGUUCGCCGCUACGACCGGAACCGAGUAACACAUCAGGCGAACUGCACCCGGAGAAGCCGCAGGCUCACAGCGAUGGACGGGGGUUCAAUUCCCCCCAUCUCCACGA